This 69-nucleotide antisense RNA is filed under the name Streptomyces sp. MBRL 601. RNAcentral's name for it is "ASpks sRNA". It matches the Rfam family "ASpks TB sRNA". Lineage: Bacteria; Bacillati; Actinomycetota; Actinomycetes; Kitasatosporales; Streptomycetaceae. The record is from RNAcentral.
CUUCACCGACCCCAGGUAGAGCGGUCCGGUCCGGUCCUGGCCGUAGGUGGCGAGGAGCGCCUGGGCCUC